Molecule: ribosomal RNA, 583 nt
Filed under: uncultured Anaerolinea sp.
Lineage: Bacteria; Bacillati; Chloroflexota; Anaerolineae; Anaerolineales; Anaerolineaceae
Description: bacterial SSU rRNA
Rfam family: Bacterial small subunit ribosomal RNA
Source: RNAcentral
CGGUGGUUAGUGGCGCACGGGUGAGUAACACGUGGUUGACCUACCCCAAAGUAAGGGAUAACGGUCCGAAAGGACUGCUAAUACCUUAUAAGCUCCCGGUGUUUAGAAAACUGGGAGAAAAGUUCCGGCGCUUUGGGCGGGGACUGCGGACCAUCAGCUAGUUGGUGUGGUAACGGCACACCAAGGCGACGACGGAUAGGGGACCUGAGAGGGUGGCCCCCCACACUGGAACUGAGACACGGUCCAGACUCCUACGGGAGGCAGCAGUGAGGAAUAUUGCACAAUGGGCGCAAGCCUGAUGCAGCGACGCCGCGUGGGUGAUGAAGGUUUUCGGAUCGUAAAGCCCUUUUCUAGAUGACGAGUAAGGACGGUAGUCUAGGAAUAAGUGUCGGCUAACUACGUGCCAGCAGCCGCGGUAAAACGUAGGACACAAGCGUUAUCCGGAGUUACUGGGCGUAAAGGGCGUGUAGGCGGACCUGUAAGUCUAUUCUGAAAGCUCCUGGCUAAACUGGGAGAGGCGAAUGGAGACUGCANAUCUAGAGUGAGGAAGAGGAAGUGGAAUUCCGCGUGUAUUGGUGAAUGC